AGUGAACGCUGGCGGCAGGCCUAACACAUGCAAGUCGAACGGCAGCACAGUAAGAGCUUGCUCUCACGGGCGGCGAGUGGCGGAAGGGUGAGGAAUACACCGGAAUAUACUUUUUCGUGGGGGAUAACGUAGGGAAACUUACGCUAAUACCGCAUAUGACCUACGGGUGAAAGCAGGGGAUCUUUGGACCUUGCGCGAUUGAAUGAGCCGAUGUCGGAUUAGCUAGUUGGCGGGGUAAAGGCCCACCAAGGCGACGAUCCGUAGCUGGUCUGAGAGGAUGAGCAGCCACGCUGGAACGGGAACACGGUCCAGACUCCUGGGAGAGGGAGCAGGGGGGAAUAUUUGACGAUGGGCGCAAGCCUGAACCUUCCAUACCGCGUGAGUGAAUAAUGCCGUCAGGUUGUAUGGCCCUUUUGUUGGGAAAGAUAGGAAGCAGGUUUAUACCCCGCUGUUCAUGCGAUACCCGAAGAAAAAACACCCGCUAACUUCGGGC
RNAcentral lists this ribosomal RNA (493 nucleotides) under uncultured bacterium. RNAcentral describes it as "partial 16S ribosomal RNA". It matches the Rfam family "Bacterial small subunit ribosomal RNA", at positions 29 to 508 of the family's 1533-position model. The record is from RNAcentral.